RNAcentral lists this unclassified non-coding RNA (305 nucleotides) under plant metagenome. RNAcentral's name for it is "partial contains 5.8S ribosomal RNA, internal transcribed spacer 2, and large subunit ribosomal RNA". The stretch from base 1 to 105 matches the Rfam family "5.8S ribosomal RNA", at positions 50 to 154 of the family's 154-position model. The record is from RNAcentral.
GAAAUGCGAUAGGUAGUGUGAAUUGCAGAAUUCAGUGAAUCAUCGAAUCUUUGAACGCACAUUGCGCCCUUUGGUAUUCCUUAGGGCAUGCCUGUUCGAGCGUCAUCUAAACCUUCAAGCCCUGCUUGGUGUUGGGUGCCUGUCCCGCCUCCGCGCGCGGACUCACCUCAAAUCCAUUGGCGGCCCCCGCGUCGGCCACGAGCGCAGCAGAAACGCGAACUCGUGAGCCCGUCCGGGCGGCUCCCAGAAGCUACACCCACCCAGUUUGACCUCGGAUCAGGUAGGGAUACCCGCUGAACUUAAGC